GGUGAGUAACGCGUAGGUAACCUGCCUUAAGGUCUGGGAUAGCCAUACGAAAGUAUGAUUAAUACUGGAUAUGCUCUUAUGAGUAAAGAUUCAUCGCCUUAAGAUGGGCCUGCGUUAGAUUAGCUUGUUGGUAGGGUAAUGGCCUACCAAGGCGACGAUCUAUAGCCGGGUUGAGAGACUGGCCGGCCACAUUGGGACUGAGACACGGCCCAGACUCCUACGGGAGGCAGCAGCUAAGAAUCUUCCGCAAUGGACGCAAGUCUGACGGAGCGGCGCCGCGUGAACGAUGAAGGCCUUACAGGUUGUAAAGUUCUUUUAUAGUAGACGAAAACUAAGCGUAGGCUUAGUUGACGGUAUUCUAUGAAUAAGGUCCGGCUAACUACGUGCCAGCAGCCGCGGUAAUACGUAGGGACCGAGCGUUGUUCGGAAUUAUUGGGCGUAAAGGGUACGUAGGCGGUCUAAUAAGUCAGAUGUGAAAACCCUGGGCUCAGCCUGAGGCCUGCGUCUGAUACUGUUAGGCUAGAGUUACGGAGAGGAAGUCGGAAUUCCUGGUGUAGGGGUGAAAUCUAUAGAUAUCAGGAAGAACACCGGUAGCGAAGGCGGACUUCUGGACGUAAACUGACGCUGAUGUACGAAAGUUAGGGUAGCAAACAGGAUUAGAGACCCUGGUAGUCCUAACCGUAAACGUUGUAUACUAGGUGGUGGCGUUUUGAUCGCGUCACUGCCGUAGCUAACGCAUUAAGUAUACCGCCUGGGGAGUAUGCCGGCAACGGUGAAACUCAAAGGAAUUGACGGGGGCCCGCACAAGCAGUGGAGCAUGUUGUUUAAUUCGAUGAUACGCGAGGGACCUUACCAGGUCUUGACAUAUACCCGGAUGUUCCAGAGAUGGAUCAGUCCUUCGGGACGGGUAUACAGGUGCUGCAUGGUUGUCGUCAGCUCGUGCCGUGAGGUGUUGGGUUAA
This 961-nucleotide ribosomal RNA is filed under the name uncultured organism. Its description in RNAcentral is "bacterial SSU rRNA". It matches the Rfam family "Bacterial small subunit ribosomal RNA", at positions 105 to 1083 of the family's 1533-position model. The record is from RNAcentral.